GUAAGGAACUUGGUUCCUCGAAUAACUUCUGCCACAGACAUCUGAGGGCAUGGCCGUCCAAGAAGAAAAUGUAGCCAUUGGUGCCAUCUAUCGACCACAGGUUAAAGAUUGGCGAUCCGUUGGAUACCGACCGAGAUAUAGGCAAAACUUGGUGCAAAAAUGAGCCUUAGUUUUAUUUCUUUUAAUCUUUUGAUUUUUUUAUUAUUUUUCACAAUUUUUUUUAUUUGAAGCAUUACUGGAGUGAAAAGAAACACAUUGCAACCAAUUGGCAUUAAAAUAAAUCAAUUUCAUUUUUUUUUGCAAAAUUUCCCAAAAAAAUCGUAAGGGGUAAGCCUUAUGAAAUUUUCGAGCUGAAAUUAUUUUUAAAUUUUUUUCUGAUUUUUUAUUAUUUUUUUAAUUCAAAGCAUUAUUUGAGUGAAAAGAAACACAUUGCAACAAAUUUGCAUGAAAAUAUAUGACAUUUAAAAAUUUUGCUAAAUUGCUCAAAAAUGAGGAAAAUUUUACAUUUUUUCAAACAGGGUAAGGAACUUGGUUCCUCGAAUAACUUCUGCCACAGACAUCUGAGGACAUGGCCGUCCAAGAAGAAAAUGUAGCCAUUGGUGCCAUCUAUCGACCACAGGUUAAAGAUUGGCGAUUCGUUGGAUAUC
Molecule: long non-coding RNA, 647 nt
Organism: Anopheles funestus (African malaria mosquito)
Lineage: Eukaryota; Metazoa; Arthropoda; Insecta; Diptera; Culicidae
Exons: 2
Source: RefSeq, a predicted model, not a curated record